This 1223-nucleotide long non-coding RNA is filed under the name Marmota monax (woodchuck). The record is from RNAcentral. Lineage: Eukaryota; Metazoa; Chordata; Mammalia; Rodentia; Sciuridae.
GGCCACCCACCUGCUUACCCAACACCUGUACUGCAAGCCACAUAUCCAAGGAGGAGCCUCUCCCAGCUGAUCACAGUAAGCAGGCCAGAGGGAGUGAACUUCACCAGGUUCCCAGAUACCAAUCGCAGUCUCUCAGCUGAACCCAUCUAGAAUGCAUGGAAUCUGUGGAAGCCUUUGGAUUCACCCUUUGGAAGCCAGCAGCGAGAAGGUGUCACCUGAAAAACAAGGUGACAGCAUCAUCACCAUUGGGGGCAAGAAGCAGAUGCCAGGGUGCAGGGUAUGCUUCUCUCCAGCAUAUGCAGGCAUAUGGCAGAGCUCCAGUCUCUGGUAUGUGAGCCAGUGGUAAAUCUAUAUAAUAGCACAACCCUGUAGUAAAUGUUGGAUUCAGGCUGCUGUGCUAGUAUUCACUUUUUCACUGAAUCAUAACUGAAUGUGAGAACUUCCUUGCAUAUGCUGUUAUUUAACCCUCACUGGGAAGAAAUCUGUAAUCUUAGUGUGUCAAAUGAGAAAAUGUGCUCACAGGAGUUAAUUAAAAUUUACCCAAAAUAUUACAACUCUCACCCAAACCAAUGUCUUCAGUUUUGAACUUUCUGGGGUUUUGGAGUUGUUUGUUGUUCUUCUUCAGCUCCCCAAAUGAUUCUGAUAUUAGGGAGGGCUAAAAAUACUGCUUCAGGAAAAUGUAGUGAGUUCUGAGUCUCCUUACUCCCCCCAUGUUUCCCAACUUUCUAUUUUUCUACCAUUGUUUCCUGUGUUCCUUUUCCUAGAAGCUCCUGCAGCUCUCCAAAGGUUAGAUUCUCUUCGUAUGUUCUCAAACCAUCUAUAGUGGAGACAAGCCUGGAGCCAAUACAACAGCAUUCCCUGCCUGCCUCCCCCAUCCCAGACCCACACACUCUCAAUAGGCUUAAUUAAGUUCCCCCCACUCCAAUACACACUCACUGUUAGGAUGGCCAAGGACUGGGAGAAUGGUGCUGAUCACAGCUCCCAACUUGCUCUUGUAUCUCAGCUCAACCCCACCCUGCUCUUUGGUAAAGAAUAAAAAAGGUGCUGCAGCUGAGCUCCAUCACUAGGACCACAGCCCUAAUGACCUCAUUUAACUCCAGUGCCUCACCUCAUUCCCAGGUUCCUCCCACACCUUGAUUUUUAUGUUAGAAAUGAGAUAAUGAAUGGGGAGCCAGGUAGGGUAAUAUAUAACAAGAGCCUCUGGAUAUUAACAUUAUCCUCUG